This 1888-nucleotide long non-coding RNA is filed under the name Chinchilla lanigera (long-tailed chinchilla). Its description in RNAcentral is "lncRNA (ENSCLAG00000028030.1)". The record is from RNAcentral. Lineage: Eukaryota; Metazoa; Chordata; Mammalia; Rodentia; Chinchillidae.
GCUCAGCCAUUCCACCCACACCAAGCCCUCCUCCCCUUCCUGUCAGGAGGAAGGGGGCGUUCACAGCGAGGCCAUCUCUCUACAUCUCGUCCUGGAGAUAAAGGCGGCCGUCUCAGACCUAGUUGCCCAAAAGUGAAGCACAGGGGGCCAGAGGCCACCGGGGAGGGAGGGCCUGUGUGCAGCGGUCAGGUCUGCCGUGUCCGUGUAAGACCGGUGGCCAGGACAGGACAAGGAAGGCCCAAAGCCCGGGCAUCAGAGCAGGUCAGGGGCCCAGACAGACCCCAGUGGGGCAGCACCAGCUUUGCGAUUGGGGUGCAGGGUGCAGAGGGGAGGUGGCCUCCCCCAACCCCUCCCCAUGCAGGGCCCACUUUGCCUCCGUCUGGGCUCACCUUUCAGGGGACAAAAGCCACCGAGAGACAGCCCCACCCAAAACGAAAGUGGCCAGGCAGCGGGGCGCCAAUGUCUUUCCCGAGAGGGGCCAGAGGGGGAGACUAUUAAAUAUUAAACAGGGGAAGUGGCUUCCAAAGAUGCUGUCAUUGUUCUCCGCACCGGCCCAUCUGUCGUCCCCUUUCCCAGCAAGCUCACGCUUUGCUGGGCGCAGAGGGCCGGCUUGGGCCACUGGGGCGGCGGGAUCUUCCGUCCGGGAUCCUCCGAAGCCUCGAGCCUCGGGCUGGCCUCGCGCGACUCCCGGCCCUGUGCCCCGUCCAGCCUGCCUGGCUUUCUUCUUAUUCCCAUUUUUCUUAGUCUGCAUGUGCAGUGCAGACCGAUUGCACUCAUCUCCAGGAGUGGGUGCCUGUCCAGACAGAUCUUUUUUUUUUUUUUUUUUUGGUACCAGGAAUCGAACUCAAAACCUUGCGCUUGCCAGGCAGGAGCUGUACCGCUGAGCUAUGUCCCCGGCCCUGUCCGGGCACAUCUUGAAGCAGAAAGUGACGGUCGGCUCACCUGCGUUCAGCGGGCGUCGGGCUCAGGCGACACAGAGAGUCCUCCGGGCGUCCCGAGGGCCGCCCCUCAUCAGCGCCCAGGACUCCGGGCCACCGCAAGGGCACAGAUCCAUGGCACAAGUCCAGCUGGAGGCAGAAGCGGGUGCCGGGAGAGGAGCGCGCGCUGGGAGCAGGGGCCUCUCCAAGGCAGCAGGUUUCUUUGCAGCUCGAGUUAAUUUACUCCAAAACCUAGGUCGGACUCAGGUCUUCCUCCCCACGCUGGGGAGGGAACCCGGGGUCUCCAGUGCUUCACCUGCAGGUCCCGUCCCGCCACCACCCCCGCAGCCGGGGCUCUUUCCAAAGGCCUCCUUCUCACCAGGAGGGUCCUGCGUUCCCCUGUGAGCAAUAUCCACGGCACAGGGAGUCUCUAUAUUUUUUUCCCAAGAAAAGAGAGAGGAAGACAAGGACAAAGCACAGCAAGUUGCUACCUGAAGAAGCAGAGUGAGACUGGAGUGGGGAUUCUCUCAGUUGUUAUGUAUUCCUCCCUGUAUUUGUGAAUGCCUGAGGAUUUCUAUUUUAAAGAGAUGGGAAGGUCCGAGGACAGGAUGGAUGCAGGCCCUGCUGACGGGCUGGGAUGGCCUCUCCGUGGUGAAGUCCAGCCCCUAAUUCAGCAGCUUGGGGAGAGCACUGAGAAUGCAAAGGGCCUGAAAGCAAAGAUCACUUGUGUUUAUCUUUCCUCUCCCUUUCCGCCCCUGAAGAAGUAGCCAUGAUAUUUUGUAAAUGCGGCUGUGUGCCAAUAAAACUUUAUUUAUAAAAACCAGUUCCAAGUUAAGCCAGCCCCCAAGGUUAGUUUGAUCUGCCAGCUAUAUAAACAUUUAUCAUUGGCUCUGUCUACAGUGCUUUUACAUAUGUGCCAGGCUCUGACUCUUGUCAGAGAGUUGUGUCUGCUGUGUGACCCUGGUCAAGUC